AUUGAACGCUGGCGGCACGCCUAACACAUGCAAGUCGAGCGGCAGCGCGAUAUGUAGCAAUACAUAUUGGCGGCGAGCGGCGGACGGGUGAGGAACACGUAGGAACCUACCCUCGAGUGGGGGAUAACCAAGGGAAACUUUGGCUAAUACCGCAUGAUUUCGAGAGAGCAAAGCUGCCGCAAGGUGGCGCUCGAGGAGGGGCCUGCGUCCGAUUAGCUAGUUGGUGAGGUAAGAGCUCACCAAGGCGAUGAUCGGUAACUGGUCUGAGAGGACGACCAGUCACACUGGGACUGAGACACGGCCCAGACUCCUACGGGAGGCAGCAGUGGGGAAUAUUGGACAAUGGGGGCAACCCUGAUCCAGCGAUGCCGCGUGAGUGAAGAAGGCCUUCGGGUCGUAAAGCUCUUUAGGUUGGGAAGAAGAGUGAUGGAGGAAAUGCUAUCACUUUGACGGUACCGGCAGAAUAAGCACCGGCAAACUCUGUGCCAGCCGCCGCAGUAA
RNAcentral lists this ribosomal RNA (501 nucleotides) under uncultured bacterium. Its description in RNAcentral is "partial 16S ribosomal RNA". It matches the Rfam family "Bacterial small subunit ribosomal RNA", at positions 29 to 523 of the family's 1533-position model. The record is from RNAcentral.